UCCUUCUCUGUGGCCUGGUGCGUCAGGCACUUAAAAGGCCACCCUGGCUGGGGUCCUUCUCUGUUGCUUGGCAUAUCAGGCAUUUAAAGGGCCGCCCUGGCUGAGGACGUUCCCUGUUGGUCAAUGUGUCAGGUGCCUAAGGGCCCCGCCCACCCCGUUGGGUCCUUCUCUGUUGCUCAGUGUGUCAGGUGUUUAAAGGGUCCCCAUGGUUGGAGUCCUUCUCUGUUGCUUGGAGGGACAGGCACUUAAAUGGCCACCCUAGCUAGGGUCCUUCUCUAUUGCUUCGUGUGUCAGGCACUUAAAUGCCUACCCUGGCUGAGGUCCUUCUCUAUUACGUGGCGUGUCAGGCACUUAAAGGGCCUCUGACUGGGGUCCUUCUCUGUUGCUCAGUUCACCAGGUGCUUAAAUGACGCCCCUGGCUUGAGUUUUUCACUGUUGCUUGGUGUGUCUGGAGCUUAAAUGGCCACAUUCCCUGGGUUCCUUAUCUGUUGCUUGGUGCAUCAGGCACUAAAGCCUGCCCCCGUCCCUGCCCUACCCCCCCAGCACCCGGUUUGGGUCCUUCCCUACUGCUCUCUGUAUCAGGGGCAUAAGGGGCCCCCCUGCUUGGGGUCCUUCUCUGUUGCUUGCAACAUCAAGCGCUUAAAUGGCCAAACUGGCUGGCAUCCAUCUCUUAUUUUUCGUGUCAGUCACUUAAAGGGCCCCCUGGCUGGGUUCCUCUUUUGUUCAGUGCAUCAGGCGCUGAAAUGGCCACCCAUGUUGGGGUCCUUUUUUGUUGCUUGGAGCAUCAGGCACUAAAGCCUGCCCCCUUCCGCCCACCCCCAACCUGGUUUGGGUCUUUCCCUACUGCUCUCUGUGUCAGGGGCCUAAGGGGCCCCCCUGCUUGGGGUCCUUCUCUGUUGCUUGCAACAUCAAGCGCUUAAAUGGCCA
Long non-coding RNA from Bos taurus (domestic cattle), 927 nucleotides. Lineage: Eukaryota; Metazoa; Chordata; Mammalia; Artiodactyla; Bovidae. The record is from Ensembl.